Molecule: ribosomal RNA, 468 nt
Filed under: uncultured bacterium
Lineage: Bacteria
Description: partial 16S ribosomal RNA
Rfam family: Bacterial small subunit ribosomal RNA
Source: RNAcentral
GACGAACGCUGGCGGCGUGCUUAACACAUGCAAGUCGAACGGAAAGGCCCUGCUUUUGUGGGGUGCUCGAGUGGCGAACGGGUGAGUAACACGUGAGUAACCUGCCCUUGACUUUGGGAUAACUUCAGGAAACUGGGGCUAAUACCGGAUAGGAGCUCCUGCUGCAUGGUGGGGGUUGGAAAGUUUCGGCGGUUGGGGAUGGACUCGCGGCUUAUCAGCUUGUUGGUGGGGUAGUGGCUUACCAAGGCUUUGACGGGUAGCCGGCCUGAGAGGGUGACCGGCCACAAGGGGACUGAGAUACGGCCCAGACUCCUACGGGGGGCAGCAGUGGGGAAUUUUGCACAAUGGGCGGAAGCCUGAUGCAGCAACGCCGCGUGCGGGAUGACGGCCUUCGGGGUGUAAACCGCUUUCGCCUGUGACGAAGCGUGAGUGACGGUAAUGGGUAAAGAAGCACCGGCUAACUACGUG